CUCCCACUGAUUGAGCUUCUGUUCUUACAGUGCCCUGCUAUACGCAGAUACUGAGGGUGACCCCCUCCUGCGGACUACUCUACUGGACCUACAGGGUCCCGUUAUAACCAUAAUGAGGGUGACCCCCUCUCGCUGACUACACUACUGAGUGUACAGACCUCUAUGAUACCACACGGAGGGUGACCCUCUCUUACCUACAGCACUGCUGGAUCUGCAAUGCCCGGUUAUGGUUAUGAGGGUGACCCCCUCCUGCCGUCUGCACUGCUGGACCGGUAAUGCCUGGUUACUUUAUUAUACGGCUAACAACUACGGCACUACUGUACCUACAGUGUCCGAUUAUGUUCAGACUGAGGGUGACCCCCUCCCCUGCUGGCCUAUACUGCAUGGUAUGCUUGUGCUUGUUGGGUGACCCCCUCUUGCACGCUGGGUGACCCCCAGCUGGCCGCACCAGGUAUCACUCCGACAGUGUUACCUCUAUGGCAGUUAUGCAAUCACGACUGAAGGACAAAUCUCCCGUACCCAGAAGGUCACUUGGCCUGUCCUCGUGCUGCCCCACUGACCUCACUGCCAGAAACCAUCAGUACCCUACAGGGGACACUCCACCGGCCAUCCUAGAUGCUACAUCAAGCACCCCUGGUACUCAUUGGCUAACGG
Molecule: non-coding RNA, 654 nt
Organism: Pelobates cultripes (western spadefoot toad)
Lineage: Eukaryota; Metazoa; Chordata; Amphibia; Anura; Pelobatidae
Source: the annotation of a GenBank genome assembly